ACUUCACCCAUAAAGUCUCUUCCUCAGCCUUGAUCUGUGUGCUAAGACUUGGUCCACCAAAAAACAAAGAGAGGAGUGUGAAAACUGUUUUCGAAACUGAACUGUGUCGCUGUGCAAAAUGGAUCUUGAACUGUGUGUAAAAGAUAGGUGACCAAUAGCUGACCUGUAAUGGAGUCAGCCUCACCCGUAAAGUCUCUUCCUCAGCCUUGAUCUGAUUUUGGAAACUGGACUGUCUUGCUGUGCUGAAUGAAUCUUGAACUGUGUCGGAGUCCAGGUCCACCAAAAAACAAGGAGAAGAGAGUUAAGAUUGUUUCAGAAACUGAAGGGAUCUUGAACUGUUUACAAGAGAUGGGUAGUGAAAAGGUUACCCACAAAGGAGUCAGUUUCACCCACCAAAUCUCCUGAGAUGCAAAGAUUUGGUCCUCAAUAAAAAGGUAACACGAAGAUUACAACUUUACUAAGAAUUUCAUAGUAGACUGAUGAUUUCAUGAAGGAUGACCAUCUCAAGAAACCAAGAACAAAUGUCAACCUCCUCCACGCCCAUCUCUUGAUGGCAGUUUUUAAGAAGUUGUAAAAACUGUCUAUUUCGUGGUAACGACAUCUUGCAAUACGCAUGUGUCUUAAGACAGACGUUUGGUUUAGAAAUGCAUGCGUUUGAAAUAAGCGUCACUACCACAAGGUAGACAACUUUUAAAGAGAAUUAAGAAAAUGGACCCCAGAGGUGGGUGUGGUGCGGGAGGCUGGAUGGAGAAAAAAAACUGUAUCAAAUAAUUGUAAUAUUACUGUAUUAUAUGAUUGUAAGAACAAGAUUGUAAUGUUACCAUUGUAAUAGAUAAUAAAAUAUUGUACAGUAAUAA
Pocillopora damicornis (cauliflower coral) is the source of this 857-nucleotide long non-coding RNA. The record is from RefSeq and is a predicted model, not a curated record. Lineage: Eukaryota; Metazoa; Cnidaria; Anthozoa; Scleractinia; Pocilloporidae.